CUCAGCCUCCAGAGCAGCUGGGACUACAGGCGCCCGCCGCCUCGCCCCGGCUAAUUUUUUUGUUUUUUGUUUGGUAUUUUUAGUAGAGGCGGGGUUUCACUGUGUUAGCCAGGCUGGUCUCAAUCUCCUGACCUCGUGAUCUGCCCGCCUCGGCCUCCCAAAGUGCUGGGAUUACAGGCGUGAGCCACCGAGCCCGGCUGGUUGCCUUCUUAAGACUGCAAAGGGAAUUUGCCAGCUCUGUAGGACAGAAAAUAGCCUGCAAAUCAAUGGAAGAAACCUCUCCUCAUAGUCAGAUACUUUGGAAUCGUCGGCCAGUCCUCCGAAGGCACUGAAAAGCAUCCCUCCUCAGGAAGAUGUGUAUUGGUCCCUAAUGAUCAUCUUGCACUCCAGACUCCAUCUCAGAAUCUUCCUCCAGAGAACUCAACCUGUGAAACCAUUAUAGAAGAUGUUUAUCCACUCGACUGUAGAAGGGCAUCUGGGCUGCCCUCAAUUAUUGGCUUUUUUCAGUAGAGCUACUGCAAACAUUCUAGUAAAUUUCUUUGGGAUAUAUAUUUAGGAGUAGGAUUGUUGGAUAACAGCAUUUGUUUGCUUAAGUUUAGUAAACACAUUUUUAUAAAAGGCUAUACCAAUUUACUACCAAUGUACAAAAAAUUUAGUUACACAACUCUUCAUUCAAUCUUUGUUGGUUGAGACAGAGAGAGCAUAGGGAAAAAAGACAAAAACCUUUGUAUUUUAGUGUGCUAUAUUUUAGCUUUGUUGGUGAGUGUGUAGUGGUAUCUUGCUGUGGUUUUAAUUAACAUUUCUCUGAUGACUAAUGUAAUUCAGCAAAAUUCAAAUGUUUGUUGGAUAUUUGGACACUCGUAUAUCUUUUUUUUGCAUGAAGUGGCUGCUUGAAGUCUUUUGCUAGUUUUAAUUGAGCUGUCUUUUUCUUUUUGAUUUUGUAGUCUUUCAUUUUUCUGAAUGUAUUUCUCUUUUCAAAUAUGCAUAUUGUAAAUGCCUUCUUUUAAUAUGUGAUUUACUUUGACAUUCACAUAAUGGUAAUUUUGAUUAACAGAAGUUCUUAAUUUUAAUGUCAUCCAAUUAUCAUUUUGCUCUUUAAGCUAAUGGUUUCUGUGUUUGAUUUAACAAAUGUUUCUUACCCAAGGCAGUGAUAAUAUUGUUCUGUUUUCUACUAAAAGUGUUAUUGUUUAGCCUUCUACAUACUGUGAGGCACUUUUCAAAUACUAUUAUUUUCCUGCAUAGAAGUCCAUUUGAUCCAGCAUCUCUUGGUGAAAAUUCCAUUUGUUACCCACUGUUCAAAUGGGGGUAACAAAUUUGUCAUGGAGAAAUUCAUCAUGAAGAAAUUCCUCAUGUCUGUGUCUCUUUGUAACAUGCCUGACUGGCUUAUUGUCUAAUACUUCUGCUGUAGUUUUAUAUGUUAAUAUCCAAUUAUGCUAGUGCUCCAGCUUUUAAAAUUUUUAUUUUUAACAUUUGUGGGUACAUAGUAGGUGUAUAUAUUUAUAGGGUACAUGAGAUAUUUGAUACUGGCAUGCAAUGCCUAAUAAUCACAGCAGAGUGAAUGGGGUUUCCAUCACAUCAUGCAUUUAUAUUUCCUUGUGUUAAAAAAAUCCAAUUACACUCUUUUUGUUAUUAUAAAAUGUGUGAUAAACUAUUGUUGACUGUAGUCACCAGGUUAUGCUAUUAAAUACUAGAAUUUAUUCAUUCUAUCUAACUAUAUUUUUGUAUCCAUUAACCAUUUCCACUUACCUCUACCCACUACACUUCCUAGCCUCUGGUAAUCAACAUUCUACUCUCCAUCUCCAUUAGUCCAAGUGUUUUAAUGUUUUUCAGCUACUACAAAUUAGUGAGAACAUGCAAAGAUUGUCUUUCUGUGCCUGGCUUAUUUCACUUAACCUCCAGUUUCAUCCAUAUUACUGCAAAUGACAGAAUCUCAAAACACCUCCAGUUUCACACGUUAUUGCAAAUGACAGAAUUGUAUUCUUUUUUUAUGUCUAAAUAGUGCUCCAUAAGGUAUACCUACCAUAUUUUCUUUAUCCGUUUGUCUGUUAUUGGACACUUAGGUUGCUUCCAAAUCUUGGCUAUUGUGGAUAAUGUUGCAAUAAAUAUGUGAGUGCAGACA
RNAcentral lists this long non-coding RNA (2119 nucleotides) under Homo sapiens (human). Its description in RNAcentral is "HSALNT0086083". Lineage: Eukaryota; Metazoa; Chordata; Mammalia; Primates; Hominidae. The record is from RNAcentral.